This 510-nucleotide ribosomal RNA is filed under the name Leptosciarella rejecta. RNAcentral's name for it is "partial small subunit ribosomal RNA". Lineage: Eukaryota; Metazoa; Arthropoda; Insecta; Diptera; Sciaridae. The record is from RNAcentral.
GUCUUUUAGAAAUAUUAAUUAAAAGUUUAACCUGCCCAUUGAUAAUUUAUUAAAAGGCUGCGGUAUUUUGACCGUACAAAGGUAGCAUAAUCAAUAGUUUUUUAAUUGGAAACUAGAAUGAAUGGUUGAAUGAAAUAUUAACUGUUUUAAUUAAAAUUUUAGAAUUUUACUUUUAAAUUAAAAGGUUUAAAUAUAUUUAAAAGACGAGAAGACCCUAUAGAGUUUAAUAUUUAUUUAUUUUUGAUAAAUUAGGUUUAAUUUUUAUUAUAUAUAAAUUUAAUAUUUUGUUGGGGUGAUAGUAAAAUUUUAUGAACUUUUAUUUUUUAAACCAUUUAUAUAUGAAUUUUAGAUCCAUUAUUAAUGAUUAUAAGUUUAAAUUACCUUAGGGAUAACAGCGUAAUUUUUUUUUAAGUUCAUAUUAAUAAAAAAGUUUGCGACCUCGAUGUUGGAUUAAGAUUAAUUUUAGGUGCAGAAGUUUAAAAUUUAAGUCUGUUCGACUUUUAAAUUCUU